AUGAACGCUGGCGGCGUGCCUAAUACAUGCACGUCGCGCGAACAGACGAGGAGCUUGCUCCUCUGACGUUAGCGGCGGACGGGUGAGUAACACGUGGAUAACCUACCUAUAAGACUGGGAUAACUUCGGGAAACCGGAGCUAAUACCGGAUAAUAUAUUGAACCGCAUGGUUCCAUAGUGAAAGACGGUUUUGCUGUCACUUAUAGAUGGAUCCGCGCCGCAUUAGCUAGUUGGUAAGGUAACGGCUUACCAAGGCAACGAUGCGUAGCCGACCUGAGAGGGUGAUCGGCCACACUGGAACUGAGACACGGUCCAGACUCCUACGGGAGGCAGCAGUAGGGAAUCUUCCGCAAUGGGCGAAAGCCUGACGGAGCAACGCCGCGUGAGUGAUGAAGGUCUUCGGAUCGUAAAACUCUGUUAUUAGGGAAGAACAAAUGUGUAAGUAACUAUGCACGUCUUGACGGUACCUAAUCAGAAAGCCACGGGUAACUACG
Molecule: ribosomal RNA, 494 nt
Filed under: uncultured bacterium
Lineage: Bacteria
Description: partial 16S ribosomal RNA
Rfam family: Bacterial small subunit ribosomal RNA
Source: RNAcentral